This 131-nucleotide small RNA is filed under the name Klebsiella michiganensis. Its description in RNAcentral is "RtT sRNA". It matches the Rfam family "RtT RNA". Rfam says of the family: This family represents a bacterial cis-regulatory element known as RtT RNA. The record is from RNAcentral. Lineage: Bacteria; Pseudomonadati; Pseudomonadota; Gammaproteobacteria; Enterobacterales; Enterobacteriaceae.
UAUUCAUCCCAUGCGGGAAGGAUGAGAAGCUUCGACUAAGGUUCGAUUCGAGCGAAGCGAGAAAGCGUUGCCGCAGGCAACGACCCGAAGGGCGAGGCACAACGCGCCGAGUAAUCCUUCCCCCACCACCA